AUUGAACGCUGGCGGCAUGCCUUACACAUGCAAGUCGAACGGUAACAGGUCUUCGGAUGCUGACGAGUGGCGAACGGGUGAGUAAUACAUCGGAACGUGCCUAGUAGUGGGGGAUAACUACUCGAAAGAGUGGCUAAUACCGCAUGAGAUCUACGGAUGAAAGCAGGGGAUCGCAAGACCUUGUGCUACUAGAGCGGCCGAUGGCAGAUUAGGUAGUUGGUGGGAUAAAAGCUUACCAAGUCGACGAUCUGUAGCUGGUCUGAGAGGACGAUCAGCCUCACUGGGACUGAGACACGGCCCAGACUCCUACGGGAGGCAGCAGUGGGGAAUUUUGGACAAUGGGCGCAAGCCUGAUCCAGCAAUGCCGCGUGCAGGAUGAAGGCUUUCGGGUUGUAAACUGCUUUUGUGCGGAACGAAAAGCCCCGGGUUAAUACCCUGGGGUCAUGACGGUACCGUAAGAAUAAGCACCGGCUAACUACGUGCCAGCAGCCGCCGUAA
This 498-nucleotide ribosomal RNA is filed under the name uncultured bacterium. Its description in RNAcentral is "partial 16S ribosomal RNA". It matches the Rfam family "Bacterial small subunit ribosomal RNA", at positions 30 to 523 of the family's 1533-position model. The record is from RNAcentral.